AUACGUAGGGUGCAAGCGUUAAUCGGAAUUACUGGGCGUAAAGCGUGCGCAGGCGGUUUUGUCAGACAGUGGUGAAAUCCCCGGGCUCAAACUGGGAACUUGCAUUGUGUACGGAAGGGUGGGGGGCGGGAGAAGGGGAUGGGAAUUCGCUGGGUGGAGUUGCAUGCGUAUAUAUGUGGAGGAACACCGAUGGCGAAGGACAGCCCCCGGGCCUGCACUGACGCUCAUGAACGAAAGCGUGGGGAGCAAACAGGAUUAGAUGCCCUGUUAGUCCACGCCCGAAACGAUGUUAACUGGUGGUUGGUGAUUUAUUUGCUCAGUAACGAAGCUAAGGCGUUAAGUCGACCGCCUGGGGAGUACGGCCGCAAGGUUAAAACUUAAAUGAAUUGACGGGG
This 395-nucleotide ribosomal RNA is filed under the name uncultured bacterium. RNAcentral's name for it is "partial 16S ribosomal RNA". It matches the Rfam family "Bacterial small subunit ribosomal RNA", at positions 523 to 918 of the family's 1533-position model. The record is from RNAcentral.